AGAGUUUGAUCCUGGCUCAGGACGAACGCUGGCGGCGUGCCUAAUACAUGCAAGUCGAGCGGAACCAUUGGAGCUUGCUCCAUUUGGUUCAGCGGCGGACGGGUGAGUAACACGUGGGCAACCUGCCCUGCAGAUCGGGAUAACUCCGGGAAACCGGUGCUAAUACCGAAUAGUUUGCGGCCUCUCCUGAGGCUGCACGGAAAGACGGUUUCGGCUGUCACUGCAGGAUGGGCCCGCGGCGCAUUAGCUAGUUGGUGGGGUAAUGGCCUACCAAGGCGACGAUGCGUAGCCGACCUGAGAGGGUGAUCGGCCACACUGGGACUGAGACACGGCCCAGACUCCUACGGGAGGCAGCAGUAGGGAAUCUUCCGCAAUGGACGAAAGUCUGACGGAGCAACGCCGCGUGAGUGACGAAGGUUUUCGGAUCGUAAAACUCUGUUGUGAGGGAAGAACACGUGCCAAUUAACUACUGGCAUUUUGACGGUACCUCACCAGAAAGCCACGGCUAACUACGUGCCAGCAGCCGCGGUAAUACGUAGGUGGCAAGCGUUGUCCGGAAUUAUUGGGCGUAAAGCGCGCGCAGGCGGUCCUUUAAGUCUGAUGUUGAAAGCCCACGGCUCAACCGUGGAGGGUCAUUGGAAACUGGAGGACUUGUGUGCAGAAGAGGAAAGUGGAAUUCCAUGUGUAGCGGUGAAAUGCGUAGAGAUGUGGAGGAACACCAGUGGCGAAGGCGACUUUCUGUCUGUAACUGACGCUGAGGCGCGAAAGCGUGGGGAGCGAACAGGAUUAGAUACCCUGGUAGUCCACGCCGUAAACGAUGAGUGCUAAGUGUUAGGGGGUUUCCGCCCCUUAGUGCUGCAGCUAACGCAUUAAGCACUCCGCCUGGGGAGUACGGCCGCAAGGCUGAAACUCAAAGGAAUAGACGGGGGCCCGCACAAGCGGUGGAGCAUGUGGUUUAAUUCGAAGCAACGCGAAGAACCUUACCAGGUCUUGACAUCCCGCUGCCCGGUGUAGAGAUACGCCUUUCCCUUCGGGGACAGCGGUGACAGGUGGUGCAUGGUUGUCGUCAGCUCGUGUCGUGAGAUGUUGGGUUAAGUCCCGCAACGAGCGCAACCCUUGAUCUUAGUUGCCAGCAUUCAGUUGGGCACUCUAAGGUGACUGCCGGUGACAAACCGGAGGAAGGUGGGGAUGACGUCAAAUCAUCAUGCCCCUUAUGACCUGGGCUACACACGUGCUACAAUGGACGGUACAAAGGGCUGCCAACCCGCGAGGGGGAGCCGAUCCCAGAAAACCGUCCUCAGUUCGGAUUGCAGGCUGCAACUCGCCUGCAUGAAGCCGGAAUCGCUAGUAAUCGUGGAUCAGCAUGCCACGGUGAAUACGUUCCCGGGCCUUGUACACACCGCCCGUCACACCACGAGAGUUUGUAACACCCGAAGUCGGUGAGGUAACCACUUGUGGAGCCAGCCGCCGAAGGUGGGACGGAUGAUUGGGGUGAAGUCGUAACAAGGUAACCGUA
Molecule: ribosomal RNA, 1516 nt
Filed under: uncultured Planococcus sp.
Lineage: Bacteria; Bacillati; Bacillota; Bacilli; Caryophanales; Caryophanaceae
Description: bacterial SSU rRNA
Rfam family: Bacterial small subunit ribosomal RNA
Source: RNAcentral